CUAAUACCGCAUAAGCGCACAAGAGGGCAUCCUCAGGUGUGAAAAGAUUUAUCGGUAUGAGAUGGUUCCGCGUCUGAUUAGCCAGUUGGCGGGGUAACGGCCCACCAAAGCGACGAUCAGUAGCCGGCCUGAGAGGGCGGACGGCCACAUUGGGACUGAGACACGGCCCAGACUCCUACGGGAGGCAGCAGUGGGGGAUAUUGCACAAUGGAGGGAACUCUGAUGCAGCGACGCCGCGUGGGUGAAGAAGUUAUUCGUAAUGUAAAGCCCUAUCAGCAGGGAAGAUAAUGACGGUACCUGACUAAGAAGCCCCGGCUAACUACGUGCCAGCAGCCGCGGUAAUACGUAGGGGGCGAGCGUUAUCCGGAUUUACUGGGUGUAAAGGGAGCGCAGACGGGACAGCAAGCCAGAUGUGGAAGCCCCGGGCAUAACCCGGGGAGUGCAUUUGGAACUGUUGACCUUGAGUGCCGGAGGGGUAAGCGGAAUUCCCAGUGUAGCGGUGAAAUGCGUAGAUAUUGGGAAGAACACCGGUGGCGAAGGCGGCUUACUGGACGGUAACUGACGUUGAGGCUCGAAAGCG
RNAcentral lists this ribosomal RNA (580 nucleotides) under uncultured rumen bacterium. RNAcentral's name for it is "bacterial SSU rRNA". It matches the Rfam family "Bacterial small subunit ribosomal RNA", at positions 163 to 761 of the family's 1533-position model. The record is from RNAcentral.